AACGAACGCUGGCGGCAUUCCUAACACAUGCAAGUCGAACGAGACCUUCGGGUCUAGUGGCGCACGGGUGCGUAACGCGUGGGAACCUGCCCUUAGGUUCGGAAUAACUCCCCGAAAGGGGUGCUAAUACCGGAUAAUGUCUUCGGACCAAAGAUUUAUCGCCUUUGGAUGGGCCCGCGUUGGAUUAGCUAGUUGGUAGGGUAAAAGCCUACCAAGGCGACGAUCCAUAGCUGGUCUGAGAGGAUGAUCAGCCACACUGGGACUGAGACACGGCCCAGACUCCUACGGGAGGCAGCAGUGGGGAAUAUUGGACAAUGGGCGAAAUCCUGAUCCAGCAAUGCCGCGUGAGUGAUGAAGGCCUUAGGGUUGUAAUGCUCUUUUACCCGGGAUGAUAAUGACGGUACCGGGAGAAUAAGCUCCGGCUAACUCCGUG
Molecule: ribosomal RNA, 433 nt
Filed under: uncultured bacterium
Lineage: Bacteria
Description: partial 16S ribosomal RNA
Rfam family: Bacterial small subunit ribosomal RNA
Source: RNAcentral